GGGGUAUCCUCCUUUGAUUAGGUGACUAAUCGGGUGACUUGGAGUUAAUAAAAAAAGGAGACAAUCCCUGGAGCCUGCAUCAGGAAAUUAAGAAGACAGAGAGCAAAGAGAACAGCAUAGCAAACAGUUGUGUGGCCACCAUCUCAAACCGACAAGUUUUCAUGUUUCAUCACAGUUGCUUGACAUUUUUAUAAAAGGAACGCAAUAUUACAGAUAAGGCUGCCUCCCUGUUCUCGUUCUCAGGGCACUCUCCCCGCAGGUACCAUGAAUUUCACCCCCCUGAAUCUGGCGUGGGUUUCUCCA
RNAcentral lists this long non-coding RNA (303 nucleotides) under Homo sapiens (human). RNAcentral describes it as "non-protein coding lnc-DIO3-4:2". The record is from RNAcentral. Lineage: Eukaryota; Metazoa; Chordata; Mammalia; Primates; Hominidae.